Molecule: ribosomal RNA, 1467 nt
Filed under: uncultured Bordetella sp.
Lineage: Bacteria; Pseudomonadati; Pseudomonadota; Betaproteobacteria; Burkholderiales; Alcaligenaceae
Description: partial 16S-23S ribosomal RNA intergenic spacer
Rfam family: Bacterial small subunit ribosomal RNA
Source: RNAcentral
AGUUCGAUUCUGGCUCAGAUUUCGAAUCGCGCUGGCGGAUGCUUUACACAUGCAAGUCGAACGGCAGCACGGACUUCGGUCUGGGGUGGCGAGGGCGAAACGGGUGAGUAAUGUAUCGGAACGUGCCUAGUAGCGGGGGAUAACUACGCGAAAGCGUAGCUAAUACCGCACAUUGCCCUUCGGGGGAAAGCGGGGACCUUCGGGCUCCUGCACCAUUAGAGCGGCCGAUAUCGGAUUAGCUAGUUGGUGGGUAACGGCUCACCAAGGCGACGAUCCGUAGCUGGUUUGAGAGGACGACCAGCCACACCGGACUGAGGCACGGCCCAGACUCCUACGGGAAAGGGUGGGGAAUUUUGGACAAUGGGGGAAACCCUGAUCCAGCCAUCCCUGCGUGUGCGAUGAAGGCCUUCGGGUUGUAAAGCACUUUGGCAGGGGAAAGAACGCACGGAUAAUACCCCGUGCAACCACGGUACCUGCAGAAUAAGCACCGGCUAAUCCAUGCGCCAGCAGCCGCGGUAAUACGUGUAGGGUGCAAGCGUUAAUCGGAAUUACUGGGCGUAAAGUGCGCAGGCGGUUCGGAAAGAAAGAUGUGAAAUCCCAGAGCUUAACUUCUCUUUGGAACUGCAUUUUUUAACUACCGUGAGCUAGAGUGUGUCAGGGAGGGAGGAAUUCCGCGUAGCAGUGAAAUGCGUAGAUAAGAGGAUCGUCUGAUGGCGAAGGCAGCCUCCUGGGAUAACACUGACGUUCAUGCACGAAAGCGUGGUGAGCAAACAGAUUAGAUACUCCUGGUAGUCCACGCCCUAAACGAUGUCAACUAGCUGUUGGGGCCUUCGCCUUGGUAUGCAGCUAACGCGUGAAGUUGACCGCCUGGGGAGUACGGUCGCAAGAUUAAAACUCAAAGGAAUUGACGGGACCUGCAAUGCCGGUGGAUGAUGGGAUUAAUUCGAUGCAACGCGAAAAACCUUACUCACUCCUGCAUGUCUGGAAUCCCGAAGAGAUUUGGGAGUGCUGCAAGAGAACCGAAAUUAUGCUGCAUGGCUGUCGUCAGCUCGUGUCGUGAGAGUUGGGUUAAGUCCUGGCAACGAGCGCAACCUCAUUAGUUGCUACGAAAGGGCACUCUAAUGAGACUGCCAUGACAAACCGGAGGAAGGUGGGGAUGACGUCAAGUCCUCAUGGCCCUUAUGGUAGGUCGCGUCAGUCAUACAAUGGUCGGGACAGAGGGUCGCUAACCCGCGAGGGGGAGCCAAUCCCAGAAACCCGAUCGUAGUCCGAUCGCAGUCUGCAACUCGACUGCGUGGUGGAAUCGCUAGUAAUCGCGGAUCAGCAUCGCGGUGAAUACGUUCCCGGGUCUUGUACACACCGCCCGUCACACCAUGGGAGUAGGUUUUACCAGAAGUAGUUAGCCUAACCGUAAGGAGGGCGAUUACCACGGUAGGAUUCAUGACUGGGGUGGUCGUAACAGGUGGC